GCGCGAGCAGCGAAAGAAGUCUUUGGUUUUUUUCUCAGCCGGCAUCUCUUGAGCAAGCAGAGAAGAUCCAUUUUCCCACCUUCACUUGCAGCAGGAUCCACAACAAUGAUUGGACGAGCCAAUGCAUCCGCUUUGAUCCUAUUCACCUCCUCUUUUGGGAGCAGCCCAUGUUUCUCCUGACGAAGAGAGUUAAAGUAGCCAACGUCAUUCGUGGUACCUAGCAGGGGAGUUCAACCCAACAUUUCAGCAGCUCAUGAGGUCCGCAACCUCUUCAUUUCUCUCAAUCAUCGGCCUAGCUCGCGUCAUGUCCAAAAGCCUAAAAGGACAUGAGCCAUGUGACUU
Molecule: long non-coding RNA, 342 nt
Filed under: Malus domestica (apple)
Lineage: Eukaryota; Viridiplantae; Streptophyta; Magnoliopsida; Rosales; Rosaceae
Description: long non-coding RNA (MDOM_LNC003149)
Source: RNAcentral